UCUUCAUUUCACACACUCUCUCAUCGGUCAGAGAGGCGAGAUAGUGUGUUAAAUGGAGAGA
Pristionchus pacificus is the source of this 61-nucleotide non-coding RNA. NCBI's taxonomy places the organism in Eukaryota, Metazoa, Nematoda, Chromadorea, Rhabditida, Neodiplogasteridae. The record is from Rfam.